RNAcentral lists this ribosomal RNA (395 nucleotides) under uncultured bacterium. Its description in RNAcentral is "partial 16S ribosomal RNA". It matches the Rfam family "Bacterial small subunit ribosomal RNA", at positions 523 to 918 of the family's 1533-position model. The record is from RNAcentral.
AUACGUAGGGGGCGAGCGUUGUCCGGAAUGAUUGGGCGUAAAGGGCGCGUAGGCGGCCCGGUAAGUCUGGAGUGAAAGUCCUGUUUUUAAGAUGGGAAUUGCUUUGGAUACUGUCGGGCUUGAGUGCAGGAGAGGUAAGUGGAAUUCCCAGUGUAGCGGUGAAAUGCGUAGAGAUUGGGAGGAACACCAGUGGCGUAGGCGACUUACUGGACUGUAACUGACGCUGAGGCGCGAAAGUGUGGGGAGCAAACGGGAUUAGAUACCCCGGUAGUCCUGGCAGUAAACGAUGUAUGCUGGGUGUGGGAGUAGCGAUACCUCCGUGCCGAAGUUAACGCGAUAAGCAUACCGCCUGGGGAGUACGGUCGCAAGAUUGAAACUCAAAUGAAUUGACGGGG